RNAcentral lists this ribosomal RNA (254 nucleotides) under uncultured bacterium. Its description in RNAcentral is "partial 16S ribosomal RNA". It matches the Rfam family "Bacterial small subunit ribosomal RNA", at positions 524 to 776 of the family's 1533-position model. The record is from RNAcentral.
UACGGAGGGUGCGAGCGUUGUCCGGAAUCACUGGGCGUAAAGGGCGCGUAGGUGGCGGGGUAAGCGUGCGGUGAAAGCUCGGGGCUCAACCCCGAGUCGGCCGUGCGAACUGCUCUCGCUCGAGCAUUGUAGAGGCAGAUGGAAUUCCGGGUGUAGCGGUGGAAUGCGUAGAGAUCCGGAAGAACACCGGUGGCGAAGGCGGUCUGCUGGGCAAUAGCUGACACUGAGGCGCGACAGCGUGGGGAGCAAACAGG